GCUUUUAGUACAAAUUUAGAAUCUUCUUGGAUAAACAAGAUUAACAACAUGUUAAUGUUGCAAACAAAAAACAACCUCAAAACAACAUGCUGUCAAAUCAAUUAGAAAAUUUUUAAAAAGAUAAUACAGAAUCGUAAAUUGAAAGAGUGAUGACAAUUACCUUUGAUACGAGCGACAUUGAUAAACUUGAGAAUUAUCGAAGUUCCAAUGAAGAAUUUUAGAAUUCUUUUCCAUUUCUACAUAUCUCUUUCAAAUCGAAUCAAGAAAGGGAUGCAGAAAUAUGAAACCCUAAAAUUGCGACACCGUUCAAAUAAACUUUAAGGGUUCGAGUAAUCA
This 336-nucleotide long non-coding RNA is filed under the name Trifolium pratense (red clover). RNAcentral describes it as "long non-coding RNA (TPRA_LNC009008)". The record is from RNAcentral. Lineage: Eukaryota; Viridiplantae; Streptophyta; Magnoliopsida; Fabales; Fabaceae.